Molecule: ribosomal RNA, 254 nt
Filed under: uncultured bacterium
Lineage: Bacteria
Description: partial 16S ribosomal RNA
Rfam family: Bacterial small subunit ribosomal RNA
Source: RNAcentral
CACGUAGGGGGCAAGCGUUGUCCGGAUUUAUUGGGCGUAAAGAGCUCGUAGGUGGUUCGGUAAGUCGGGUGUGAAACCUCCAGGCUCAACCUGGAGACGCCACCCGAUACUGCUGUGACUGGAGUCCGGUAGGGGAGCGUGGAAUUCCUGGUGUAGCGGUGAAAUGCGCAGAUAUCAGGAGGAACACCAAUGGCGAAGGCAGCUCGCUGGGACGUGACUGACGCUGAGACGCGAAAGCGUGGGGAGCAAACAGG